GAUGAAGAACGUAGCGAAAUGCGAUAAGUAAUGUGAAUUGCAGAAUUCAGUGAAUCAUCGAAUCUUUGAACGCACAUUGCGCCCCCUGGUAUUCCGGGGGGCAUGCCUGUCCGAGCGUCAUUACAACCCUCAAGCUCAGCUUGGUGUUGGGCCCCGCCGCCCCGGCGGGCCCUAAAGUCAGUGGCGGUGCCGUCCGGCUCCGAGCGUAGUAAUUCUUCUCGCUCUGGAGGUCCGGUCGUGUGCUCGCCAGCAACCCCCAAUUUUUUUCAGGUUGACCUCGGAUCAGGUAGGGAUACCCGCUGAACUUAAGCAUAUUCAAUAAGCGGAGGA
Molecule: unclassified non-coding RNA, 330 nt
Filed under: soil metagenome
Description: partial contains 5.8S ribosomal RNA, internal transcribed spacer 2, and large subunit ribosomal RNA
Rfam family: 5.8S ribosomal RNA (bases 1-120)
Source: RNAcentral